CCUACGGGAGGCAGCAGUGAGGAAUAUUGGUCAAUGGGCUUACGCCUGAACCAGCCAAGUCGCGUGAGGGAAGACUGCCCUAUGGGUUGUCAACCUCUUUUGUCAGGGAGCAAUUGGCGCUACGUGUAGCGUUAUCGAGAGUACCUGAAGAAAAAGCAUCGGCUAACUCCGUGCCAGCCGCCGCGGUAAUACGGAGGAUGCGAGCGUUAUACGGAUUUUUUGGGUUUAAAGGGUGCGUAGGCGGAAUGCCAAGUCAGCGGUAAAAUCGCGGGGCUCAACCUCGCUCCGACGUUGAAACUGGCGUUCUUGAGUGGGCGAGAAGUAUGCGGAAUGCGUGGUGUAGCGGUGAAAUGCAUAGAUAUUAGGAGGAACACCGGUGGCGAAGGCGGCCUGCUGGACUGUGACUGACGUUGAGGCCCGAAGGCGUGGGGAGCAAACAGGAUUAGAUACCCGAGUAGUC
RNAcentral lists this ribosomal RNA (460 nucleotides) under uncultured bacterium. RNAcentral describes it as "partial 16S ribosomal RNA". It matches the Rfam family "Bacterial small subunit ribosomal RNA", at positions 338 to 795 of the family's 1533-position model. The record is from RNAcentral.